GAUGAACGCUAGCGGCAGGCUUAAUACAUGCAAGUCGUGGGGCAGCAGGUCCGUCGCAAGACGGACGCUGGCGACCGGCAAACGGGUGCGGAACACGUACGCAACCUUCCUUUAACUGGAGAAUAGCCCCUCGAAAGAGGGAUUAAUACUCCGUAACAUAAUGAUGAGGCAUCUCUUUAUUAUUAAAGCUCCGGCGGUUAAAGAUGGGCGUGCGCCUGAUUAGAUAGUUGGCGGGGUAACGGCCCACCAAGUCUGCGAUCAGUAACUGGUGUGAGAGCACGACCAGUCACACGGGCACUGAGACACGGGCCCGACUCCUACGGGAGGCAGCAGUAAGGAAUAUUGGUCAAUGGACGCAAGUCUGAACCAGCCA
Molecule: ribosomal RNA, 373 nt
Filed under: uncultured bacterium
Lineage: Bacteria
Description: bacterial SSU rRNA
Rfam family: Bacterial small subunit ribosomal RNA
Source: RNAcentral